GCCGGGGUGGCGGAACAGGCAGACGCAGGGGACUUAAAAUCCCCCGAUCAAAAGAUCGUACCGGUUCGAUUCCGGUCCUCGGCACCA
This 87-nucleotide transfer RNA is filed under the name Atopobium sp. Its description in RNAcentral is "tRNA-Leu". It matches the Rfam family "tRNA". Rfam says of the family: Transfer RNA (tRNA) molecules are approximately 80 nucleotides in length. Lineage: Bacteria; Bacillati; Actinomycetota; Coriobacteriia; Coriobacteriales; Atopobiaceae. The record is from RNAcentral.